Molecule: small nuclear RNA, 63 nt
Organism: Carlito syrichta (Philippine tarsier)
Lineage: Eukaryota; Metazoa; Chordata; Mammalia; Primates; Tarsiidae
Gene: U7
Rfam family: U7 small nuclear RNA
About the family: Animal histone pre-mRNAs are spliced by a different mechanism than nuclear pre-mRNAs and self-splicing introns. This processing involves the U7 snRNP, which contains only one RNA species: U7.
Source: Ensembl
UAGCAUUACAGCUCUUUUGUAAUUUGUCUAGCAGGUUUUUUGGUAAAAACUAGAGAAACCCUC